This 1409-nucleotide ribosomal RNA is filed under the name Klebsiella pneumoniae. RNAcentral's name for it is "bacterial SSU rRNA". It matches the Rfam family "Bacterial small subunit ribosomal RNA". The record is from RNAcentral. Lineage: Bacteria; Pseudomonadati; Pseudomonadota; Gammaproteobacteria; Enterobacterales; Enterobacteriaceae.
UGCAGUCGAGCGGUAGCACAGAGAGCUUGCUCUCGGGUGACGAGCGGCGGACGGGUGAGUAAUGUCUGGGAAACUGCCUGAUGGAGGGGGAUAACUACUGGAAACGGUAGCUAAUACCGCAUAAUGUCGCAAGACCAAAGUGGGGGACCUUCGGGCCUCAUGCCAUCAGAUGUGCCCAGAUGGGAUUAGCUAGUAGGUGGGGUAACGGCUCACCUAGGCGACGAUCCCUAGCUGGUCUGAGAGGAUGACCAGCCACACUGGAACUGAGACACGGUCCAGACUCCUACGGGAGGCAGCAGUGGGGAAUAUUGCACAAUGGGCGCAAGCCUGAUGCAGCCAUGCCGCGUGUGUGAAGAAGGCCUUCGGGUUGUAAAGCACUUUCAGCGGGGAGGAAGGCGGUGAGGUUAAUAACCUUGUCGAUUGACGUUACCCGCAGAAGAAGCACCGGCUAACUCCGUGCCAGCAGCCGCGGUAAUACGGAGGGUGCAAGCGUUAAUCGGAAUUACUGGGCGUAAAGCGCACGCAGGCGGUCUGUCAAGUCGGAUGUGAAAUCCCCGGGCUCAACCUGGGAACUGCAUUCGAAACUGGCAGGCUAGAGUCUUGUAGAGGGGGGUAGAAUUCCAGGUGUAGCGGUGAAAUGCGUAGAGAUCUGGAGGAAUACCGGUGGCGAAGGCGGCCCCCUGGACAAAGACUGACGCUCAGGUGCGAAAGCGUGGGGAGCAAACAGGAUUAGAUACCCUGGUAGUCCACGCCGUAAACGAUGUCGAUUUGGAGGUUGUGCCCUUGAGGCGUGGCUUCCGGAGCUAACGCGUUAAAUCGACCGCCUGGGGAGUACGGCCGCAAGGUUAAAACUCAAAUGAAUUGACGGGGGCCCGCACAAGCGGUGGAGCAUGUGGUUUAAUUCGAUGCAACGCGAAGAACCUUACCUGGUCUUGACAUCCACAGAACUUUCCAGAGAUGGAUUGGUGCCUUCGGGAACUGUGAGACAGGUGCUGCAUGGCUGUCGUCAGCUCGUGUUGUGAAAUGUUGGGUUAAGUCCCGCAACGAGCGCAACCCUUAUCCUUUGUUGCCAGCGGUUCGGCCGGGAACUCAAAGGAGACUGCCAGUGAUAAACUGGAGGAAGGUGGGGAUGACGUCAAGUCAUCAUGGCCCUUACGACCAGGGCUACACACGUGCUACAAUGGCAUAUACAAAGAGAAGCGACCUCGCGAGAGCAAGCGGACCUCAUAAAGUAUGUCGUAGUCCGGAUUGGAGUCUGCAACUCGACUCCAUGAAGUCGGAAUCGCUAGUAAUCGUAGAUCAGAAUGCUACGGUGAAUACGUUCCCGGGCCUUGUACACACCGCCCGUCACACCAUGGGAGUGGGUUGCAAAAGAAGUAGGUAGCUUAACCUUCGGGAGGGCGCUACCA